RNAcentral lists this ribosomal RNA (287 nucleotides) under uncultured beta proteobacterium. RNAcentral's name for it is "partial 16S ribosomal RNA". It matches the Rfam family "Bacterial small subunit ribosomal RNA", at positions 485 to 771 of the family's 1533-position model. Lineage: Bacteria; Pseudomonadati; Pseudomonadota; Betaproteobacteria. The record is from RNAcentral.
AAGAAGCACCGGCUAACUACGUGCCAGCAGCCGCGGUAAUACGUAGGGGGCGAGCGUUAAUCGGAAUUACUGGGCGUAAAGCGUGCGCAGGCGGCUUUUUAAGCCAGAUGUGAAAUCCCCGGGCUUAACCUGGGAACUGCAUUUGGAACUGGAAGGCUAGAGUGUAGCAGAGGGGGGUAGAAUUCCACGUGUAGCAGUGAAAUGCGUAGAUAUGUGGAGGAAUACCGAUGGCGAAGGCAGCCCCCUGGGCUAACACUGACGCUCAUGCACGAAAGCGUGGGGAGCAA